CCGCCGGGACCCUCCCACAACAUGUGGGAAUUCUGGGAGAUACAAUUCAAGUUGAGAUUAGGAUGGGGCACAGCUAAACCGUAUCAUAUUGUGAUUUGUGC
Sapajus apella (tufted capuchin) is the source of this 101-nucleotide long non-coding RNA. RefSeq lists it as uncharacterized. The record is from RefSeq and is a predicted model, not a curated record. The transcript is spliced from 3 exons. Lineage: Eukaryota; Metazoa; Chordata; Mammalia; Primates; Cebidae.